GAGUUUGAUCCUGGCUCAGAACGAACACUAGCGAUGCGUCUUAGAUAUGCAAGUCGAACGAUAUACUUCGGUAUAUAGUGGCGAACGGGUGAGUAACAUGUGAGUAAUCUACCAUGAAGUGGGGGAUAGCUUAGGGAAACCUAAGGUAAUACCGCAUAUCUUUAUAGGCUAUGGCUUAUAAAGAAAGGAACUCGAAUUAUGGGUUUCGCUUUAUGAUGAGCUUGCACCUGAUUAGCUUGUUGGUAAGGUAAAGGCUUACCAAGGCGACGAUCAGUAGCCGGCCUGAGAGGGUGAUCGGCCACAUUGGAACUGAGAUACGGUCCAGACCACUACGGUGGGCGGCAGUCAAGAAUCUUCCGCAAUGGACGAAAGUCUGACGGAGCGACAUCGCGUGAGUGAUGAAGGUGGAAACAUCGUAAAACUCUUUUAUAGAUGAAGAAUAAGCCAUUAGGAAAUGAAUGGUGAUGACAUUAGUCUAUGAAUAAGUCCCGGCUAAUUACGUGCCAGCAGCCGCGGUAAUACGUAAGGGGCAAGUGUUAUUCGGAAUUAUUGGGUGUAAAGGGCAUGUAGGCGGUUUAAUAAGUCUAAUAUUAAAGACUCAAGCUUAACUUGAGGAGUGUGUUAGAAACUAUUAAACUAGAGUUUAGAAGAGGAAAACAGAAUUUCUAGUGUAGGGGUGAUAUCUUCAGAUAUUAGGAGGAAUGCCAGAGGUGAAGGCGGUUUUCUAGUCUAAAACUGACGCUGAUAUGCGAAAGCAUGGGUAGCAAACUGAAUUAGAUACUCAGGUAGUCCAUGCUGUAAACGAUGUAUACUAGAUCUUGGAUUUUUAUUAGUUUGGGAUCGAAGCUAACGCGUUAAGUAUACCACCUGGGGAGUAUGCUCGCAAGAGUGAAACUCAAAGGAAUUGACGG
This 911-nucleotide ribosomal RNA is filed under the name uncultured bacterium. RNAcentral describes it as "bacterial SSU rRNA". It matches the Rfam family "Bacterial small subunit ribosomal RNA", at positions 9 to 916 of the family's 1533-position model. The record is from RNAcentral.